GUGUAAAAAGUUUGCUGUUGUUGGAAUUUUAUUGCAAGGGAUGUGGAAGCGAAAAAGAAAAAAAAUUAAAAACUGUUUGCUAAAAGAAAAAAAUAAAUCAAACAAUUUAUAUUGAAAUCCAUUAAAAUGAGAUAUAAACUGAAAGUUUUUGAUGUAGAAUAUGUCGUAUGAGCUUCGGAAAUUGGUAAGUUAAUGUGCAUUUUUUUAAUUGCAACUAGGUACCUAAUACAAUUUGUUUGAUCUUUUUGUUUAAUUCUCACGGCACGUUAAAGGUUCGUCAAAACAAAAAUCACCUCCGGAUGGUGGAGCUGUCUGAUUUGCAUAUGGAAAUAACCGACGGAAAAGGCGGAAAAGGAGCUACGGUUAUCUUGUUCUGCAUGGGCUACUUCCGUUGAUUAGAGAAACUGAACAAGCUGGACAGAUCGGCAUCGGAGAAAUUUUCCAUAUCAGGUUUUCUGGAAACGGUUGGAAGCUAGUCUUAGUGUCGUUGAUCAGGAACCGGUGUUGUUGAGCAGAGUGGAGAAACAAAAUUACUUUACCCGGAUCAUACUCAUUGUUCGGGAUGGUUAAUCCGACCAUCGAAACAGGUUAAAAAAUCAACCCAGAAGACCUCAUCGAAGAGGUCGCCUUCUUUAGAACCUCAGCGGAUGUGCAUCGGAUACUUCUGCCGAAACGGGAAAUUCCUUGCAAGCUUGAGAGAACGAAUGUUUUAUUUUGGUCACCUCAUCGAAACUGUUCCAACAGGUAUCUUAAACAUAUUUAUUAGUGAAUAAU
This is a long non-coding RNA of Uranotaenia lowii, 774 nucleotides long. RefSeq lists it as uncharacterized. The record is from RefSeq and is a predicted model, not a curated record. The transcript is spliced from 3 exons. NCBI's taxonomy places the organism in Eukaryota, Metazoa, Arthropoda, Insecta, Diptera, Culicidae.